Pygocentrus nattereri (red-bellied piranha) is the source of this 454-nucleotide long non-coding RNA. RefSeq lists it as uncharacterized. Lineage: Eukaryota; Metazoa; Chordata; Actinopteri; Characiformes; Serrasalmidae. The transcript has 3 exons. The record is from RefSeq and is a predicted model, not a curated record.
AUGACAAAUUUGACCGUGUGUAUACUUGGUGAUAUCUUGCACAUGAAAUGCAAUUUCUCAUGUGGCGAAAUUGUGUCCUUAUUUUAGUCACUGGCAAUAUGACCAAUCACAGUCCUCUCUGCUGUUGGCAUGAUGACAACCAAGAUGAUGAAUUGGAUGUGUCCCAGCAACUAGCAGCUUUUUCAGCAACAUUAAAGUGAUCAAAAUCUCCAAGCGCUCAAAGGUACACUGGCGCUAACUCCUCUUGUGGUUCCUGUACUCAGUGCAUCGCUAUACUGGAGCUGCGGAGCCAUUUUGGUGCCCUGGUCCUUCAUCCUGGUGGGCUGAAUGCCGUAUCUCCUGCAGGAUGAAUAAUAAAUGGGAGCAUGUCCGGAGAGAUGUUGGAGCUAUUGGCACAGAGUAAUCCUCUGCCAGCAGAAAUCUUUACAGGCCACGGCAGAACCACAGCAAAGCC